Molecule: ribosomal RNA, 468 nt
Filed under: uncultured bacterium
Lineage: Bacteria
Description: partial 16S ribosomal RNA
Rfam family: Bacterial small subunit ribosomal RNA
Source: RNAcentral
GACGAACGCUGGCGGCGUGCUUAACACAUGCAAGUCGAACGGAAAGGCCCUGCUUUUGUGGGGUGCUCGAGUGGCGAACGGGUGAGUAACAAGUGAGUAACCUGCCCUUGACUUUGGGAUAACUUCAGGAAACUGGGGCUAAUACCGGAUAGGAGCCCCUGCUGCAUGGUGGGGGUUGGAAAGUUUCGGCGGUUGGGGAUGGACUCGCGGCUUAUUUGCUUGUUGGUGGGGUAGUGGCUUACCAAGGCUUUGACGGGUAGCCGGCCUGUGAGGGUGACCGGCCACAUUGGUACUGAGAUACGGACCAGACUGCUACGGGAGGCAGCAGUGGGGAAUAUUGCACAAUGGGCGGAAGCCUGAUGCAGCAACGCCGCGUUCGGGAUGACGGCCUUCUGGUUGUAAACCGCUUUCGCCUGUGACGAAGCGUGAGUGACGGUAAUGGGUAAAGAAGCACCGGCUAACUACGUG